This 483-nucleotide ribosomal RNA is filed under the name uncultured bacterium. Its description in RNAcentral is "partial 16S ribosomal RNA". It matches the Rfam family "Bacterial small subunit ribosomal RNA", at positions 30 to 507 of the family's 1533-position model. The record is from RNAcentral.
UUGAACGCUGGCGGCAGGCCUAACACAUGCAAGUCGAGCGGAUGAAGGGAGCUUGCUCCUGGAUUCAGCGGCGGACGGGUGAGUACUGCCUAGGAAUCUGCCUGGUAGUGGGGGAUAACGUCCGGAAACGGGCGCUAAUACCGCAUACGUCCUGAGGGAGAAAGUGGGGGAUCUUCGGACCUCACGCUAUCAGAUGAGCCUAGGUCGGAUUAGCUAGUUGGUGGGGUAAAGGCCUACCAAGGCGACGAUCCGUAACUGGUCUGAGAGGAUGAUCAGUCACACUGGAACUGAGACACGGUCCAGACUCCUACGGGAGGCAGCAGUGGGGAAUAUUGGACAAUGGGCGAAAGCCUGAUCCAGCCAUGCCGCGUGUGUGAAGAAGGUCUUCGGAUUGUAAAGCACUUUAAGUUGGGAGGAAGGGCAGUAAGUUAAUACCUUGCUGUUUUGACGUUACCAACAGAAUAAGCACCGGCUAACUUCGUG